Equus caballus (horse) is the source of this 1337-nucleotide non-coding RNA. The record is from RefSeq and is a predicted model, not a curated record. Lineage: Eukaryota; Metazoa; Chordata; Mammalia; Perissodactyla; Equidae.
AUUUCCACCUCUUUUCUAGAGUGGGAGGAAAAGCAGUCUUAUUUUAAGAAAGGAAGGAAUCUGGGCCACCCAGAUUUUUCCACAGCUUGAGGAAGACCUGGUUUCCAAAAUAUUGCCUAUAAUCUUGAUUUCUAUUUUAAGUGUCUGUUACAUGUUUUACAGUGAAUAUGCUGGCGAAGCAAGACACACUGAAGGAAUUAACUUGUUUGAGUGUAACCUUUACAGUGUAGACAGCUUAUGCUUGCUGUCAGUGCCAUCCUUACACAGAGCCUGGCACUGCUGCCUGUCUAGACUGCCUCGAAGAUGCUUAGCCGCUGCUCCAACAGGAAAACUUCCAUGAUAAUCCUGAGCUGUGAUUCCGCUUCUGGAGUUUCCAGAGUUUUCAAUGAGCUGUUUUCUUUUCCAAGAGGCCAAUACCAGUUAGAAACCAUACGUCUUUUUUUUUUUUUCCUGUUUAUGUAGAUUACUGAGAUGUGACUUAUUUGCCUUAUUAUUCUUCCAGAGGUAUAGACACUGCCCCUGGUUUGGGAGUUUUUGGGGGGACCAGGGGCACUUGCUUGAAGCAAGUUGUGCUGUCACCCCAGCAUCCCACCAACACUGUCAGGUACUGAGGCCAGAUCACACUUUGCGCCCAAGUCACUGGUGGAGUUGGGAAGAGAACACAGCAUUCCAGCAGAGGCGUUUUUUACACUGAGGAGAGGAAUCUUUGAGAGUUUAAGUAACUUGCCCCGGACCCCACAGCUGGGAAAUGGAAGAGCUGGGAUUCAAACGUAGGGCUGUCUGGCCCCAAAGCCAGUUGUUUAAAAGCUGGAUUCUGCUUGAGUAGAAAUAAUACAGUCAACUGUCACCUGGCACGUGUUCAGCUAGAAUUCCCUAUGACUUGGCAUGUUGCAGUAGUGCCAAGACAAAUCCUGUUUAUAAUGCAAAUCCUCAAGACCCUUCUUAAUCAUCAGAAAGAUUAAACUGUUCACUGUGGUUUAUUAGGUAUACUUUAUGAUGUUGUAAUUCUUAGAAAAAUUUUUGUCCAUAAAUCACCAGCAGAGUGACUUUUUAAUCGUUUUUUGAGGCAUAAUUAAUGUUGGGUGCCUUUUUUUAAUGUGAAUAUGUGAAUACCAUAUUUCCUUGCUGUGUUGGGUGGUUGAGAGUUUAUGGUACUUUACUUAAAUUUAUGCCUUUGUGAAGUUUUCCAAAGAACACUAGGACUCGCCAGAAAGAUAAGUCCUAUGGAAAUGCCUUCCAAACAAUUAAAUUCAUGGAGUUUAGGCAUAUGAUAUUAUUGCUCGUUCCUGAAAAAGUAUUUUCCUCCUGGCAAGAAUAAAUGUGAAAUUAAAAUGAAA